Molecule: ribosomal RNA, 254 nt
Filed under: uncultured bacterium
Lineage: Bacteria
Description: partial 16S ribosomal RNA
Rfam family: Bacterial small subunit ribosomal RNA
Source: RNAcentral
UACGGAGGGUGCGAGCGUCGUCCGGAAUCAUUGGGCGUAAAGGGCGCGUAGGUGGCCCUGGUCAGCGUGCGGUGAAAGCUCGGGGCUCAACCCCGAGUCGGCCGUGCGAACUGCCGGGCUCGAGCACUGUAGAGGCAGGCGGAAUUCCGGGUGUAGCGGUGGAAUGCGUAGAGAUCCGGAAGAACACCGGUGGCGAAGGCGGCCUGCUGGGCAGUGGCUGACACUGAGGCGCGACAGCGUGGGGAGCAAACAGG